GACGAACCGAGCGAACGUUAUUCGGAAUCACUGGGCUUAAAGGGCGCGUAGGCGGGCCGUCAAGUCGAGGGUGAAAUCCCCCAGCUCAACUGGGGAAGUGCCUCCGAUACUGGCGGCCUCGAGGGGGAUAGGGGCAUGCGGAACUUCCGGUGGAGCGGUGAAAUGCGUAGAUAUCGGAAGGAACACCGGUGGCGAAAGCGGCGUGCUGGAUCCCUUCUGUCGCUGAGGCGCGAAAGCCAGGGGAGCGAACGGG
Molecule: ribosomal RNA, 253 nt
Filed under: uncultured bacterium
Lineage: Bacteria
Description: partial 16S ribosomal RNA
Rfam family: Bacterial small subunit ribosomal RNA
Source: RNAcentral